CUAGGAAUCUUGGGAAUGGGCGAAAGCCUGACCCAGCAACGCCGCGUGGGCGAUGAAGGCCUUCGGGUCGUAAAGCCCUUUUGUGGGGGAAGAUGAUGACGGUACCCCGCGAAUAAGCCACGGCUAACUACGUGCCAGCAGCCGCGGUAAUACGUAGGUGGCAAGCGUUGUCCGGAUUUACUGGGCGUAAAGGGCGUGCAGGCGGUCUGUUAAGUCUAGGGUGAAAGCUCCCGGCUCAACUGGGAGAGGUCCUUGGAUACUGGCGGACUUGAGGGAGGCAGAGGAAAGUGGAAUUCCCGGUGUAGUGGUGAUAUGCGUAGAUAUCGGGAGGAACACCAGUGGCGAAGGCGGCUUUCUGGGCCUUACCUGACGCUGAGACGCGAAAGCGUGGGGAGCGAACCGGAUUAGAUACCCGCGUAGUCC
This 423-nucleotide ribosomal RNA is filed under the name uncultured bacterium. Its description in RNAcentral is "bacterial SSU rRNA". It matches the Rfam family "Bacterial small subunit ribosomal RNA", at positions 355 to 796 of the family's 1533-position model. The record is from RNAcentral.